This 512-nucleotide ribosomal RNA is filed under the name uncultured bacterium. RNAcentral describes it as "partial 16S ribosomal RNA". It matches the Rfam family "Bacterial small subunit ribosomal RNA", at positions 28 to 507 of the family's 1533-position model. The record is from RNAcentral.
GACGAACGCUGGCGGCGUGCCUAAUACAUGCAAGUCGAGCGAGCGGAACUAACAGAUUUACCUCGGUAAUGACGUUAGGAAAGCGAGCGGCGGAUGGGUGAGUAACACGUGGGGAACCUGCCCCAUAGUCUGGGAUACCACUUGGAAACAGGUGCUAAUACCGGAUAAGAAAGCAGAUCGCAUGAUCAGCUUUUAAAAGGCGGCGUAAGCUGUCGCUAUGGGAUGGCCCCGCGGUGCAUUAGCUAGUUGGUAAGGUAAAGGCUUACCAAGGCGAUGAUGCAUAGCCGAGUUGAGAGACUGAUCGGCCACAUUGGGACUGAGACACGGCCCAAACUCCUACGGGAGGCAGCAGUAGGGAAUCUUCCACAAUGGACGCAAGUCUGAUGGAGCAACGCCGCGUGAGUGAAGAAGGUUUUCGGAUCGUAAAGCUCUGUUGUUGGUGAAGAAGGAUAGAGGUAGUAACUGGCUUUUAUUUGACGGUAAUCAACCAGAAAGUCACGGCUAACUACGUG